AACGAACGCUGGCGGCAUGCCUAACACAUGCAAGUCGAACGAGACCUUCGGGUCUAGUGGCGCACGGGUGCGUAACGCGUGGGAAUCUACCCUUGGGUUCGGAAUAACAGUUAGAAAUGACUGCUAAUACCGGAUGAUGACGUAAGUCCAGAGAUUUAUCGCCCAAGGAUGAGCCCGCGUAAGAUUAGCUUGUUGGUGGGGUAAUGGCCUACCAAGGCGACGAUCUUUAGCUGGUCUGAGAGGAUGAUCAGCCACACUGGGACUGAGACACGGACGAGAAUCCUACGGGAGGCAGCAGUGGGGAAUAUUGGACAAUGGGCGAAAGCCUGAUCCAGCAAUGCCGCGUGAGUGAUGAAGGCCUUAGGGUUGUAAAGCUCUUUUACCAGGGAUGAUAAUGACAGUACCUGGAGAAUAAGCUCCGGCUAACUCCGUGCCAGCCGCCGCAGUAA
Molecule: ribosomal RNA, 449 nt
Filed under: uncultured bacterium
Lineage: Bacteria
Description: partial 16S ribosomal RNA
Rfam family: Bacterial small subunit ribosomal RNA
Source: RNAcentral